RNAcentral lists this ribosomal RNA (496 nucleotides) under uncultured bacterium. RNAcentral describes it as "partial 16S ribosomal RNA". It matches the Rfam family "Bacterial small subunit ribosomal RNA", at positions 29 to 507 of the family's 1533-position model. The record is from RNAcentral.
AUGAACGCUGGCGGCGUGCCUAAUACCUGCAAGUCGAGCGAACAGACGAGGAGCUUGCUCCUCUGACGUUAGCGGCGGACGGAUGAGUAACACGUGGAUAACCUACCUAUAAGACUGGGAUAACUUCGGGAAACCGGAGCUAAUACCGGAUAAUAUAUUGAACCGCAUGGUUCAAUAGUGAAAGACGGUUUUGCUGUCACUUAUAGAUGGAUCCGCGCCGCAUUAGCUAGUUGGUAAGGUAACGGCUUACCAAGGCAACGAUGCGUAGCCGACCUGAGAGGGUGAUCGGCCACACUGGAACUGAGACACGGUCCAGACUCCUACGGGAGGCAGCAGUAGGGAAUCUUCCGCAAUGGGCGAAAGCCUGACGGAGCAACGCCGCGUGAGUGAUGAAGGUCUUCGGAUCGUAAAACUCUGUUAUUAGGGAAGAACAAAUGUGUAAGUAACUAUGCACGUCUUGACGGUACCUAAUCAGAAAGCCACGGCUAACUACGUG